CCUACGGGUGGCAGCAGUGGGGAAUAUUGGACAAUGGGGGGAACCCUGAUCCAGCCAUGCCGCGUGUGUGAAGAAGGCCCUCGGGUUGUAAAGCACUUUCAGUGAGGAAGAACGCCUGGUGGUUAAUACCCAUCAGGAAAGACAUCACUCACAGAAGAAGCACCGGCUAACUCCGUGCCAGCAGCCGCGGUAAUACGGAGGGUGCGAGCGUUAAUCGGAAUUACUGGGCGUAAAGCGCGCGUAGGUGGCUUGAUAAGCCGGUUGUGAAAGCCCCGGGCUCAACCUGGGAACGGCAUCCGGAACUGUCAAGCUAGAGUGCAGGAGAGGAAGGUAGAAUUCCCGGUGUAGCGGUGAAAUGCGUAGAGAUCGGGAGGAAUACCAGUGGCGAAGGCGGCCUUCUGGACUGACACUGACACUGAGGUGCGAAAGCGUGGGUAGCAAACAGGAUUAGAUAUCCUAGUAGUC
RNAcentral lists this ribosomal RNA (465 nucleotides) under Vreelandella stevensii. Its description in RNAcentral is "partial 16S ribosomal RNA". It matches the Rfam family "Bacterial small subunit ribosomal RNA", at positions 338 to 795 of the family's 1533-position model. Lineage: Bacteria; Pseudomonadati; Pseudomonadota; Gammaproteobacteria; Oceanospirillales; Halomonadaceae. The record is from RNAcentral.